This is a non-coding RNA of Aedes albopictus (Asian tiger mosquito), 74 nucleotides long. Lineage: Eukaryota; Metazoa; Arthropoda; Insecta; Diptera; Culicidae. The record is from Rfam.
AGCUUCGUAGCUUGGACGAAAGGAGCGCCUGUCUAGCGAAUUGGGAGUCGUGGGUUCGAUUCCCACCGGAGCUU